Long non-coding RNA from Talpa occidentalis (Iberian mole), 1213 nucleotides. RefSeq lists it as uncharacterized. The record is from RefSeq and is a predicted model, not a curated record. Lineage: Eukaryota; Metazoa; Chordata; Mammalia; Eulipotyphla; Talpidae. The transcript is spliced from 5 exons.
UAUGUCAGUUCCUGCCUAUUUUCCAGUCUGCUUCUUAGCCUUCCCAACAAUUAGGGGAAAUCUCUGAUAGGACACUGGUAAAUUCCUUUUCUAUUUAAGCUAACAUGAUGAUUAAUUUUAUAUGUCAACUUGACUGUGCAGUGGCACCCAGAUAUCAGUUGAAGACCUGAAUAGAAUAAAGAUUGACACCCACCCCAACAAGAAGGAAUUCUGUCAGCAGACUGCUUUCUGACUUGGUCCACCUGCAGACUUUGAACUCCCAGUCUCAUAUUCUGAAUACUUACGAGAAGAUCACUGAAUCCUUGGACCUAGAUCAUCCAUUUUGCAUAGAAAUAUGUUUGGUCAUCCAUCUGCUAGAACCUAAGGAAGGGCUGGGACUCUGAGUUCCACUUUCUUGGACUUUGUAAAGGAAUUUCACAUAACCAGAUCAGAGACAUAAUGCAAAUACAAAACCAGAUUUUUUCUCCAUUGUGCUGAUGUCACUUUCUUCACUGGAUGUUUCAUCCUGUAUACGGAAGCAAUUCUAUUCCUUGGCCUCCUAAGUCUUCUGGGGAAAAGGAAGAAAAAAAGGGAUCAGCCCUCUGAGAAUCACUCUUCCGCUGUGUCUCUAUCUGUACCAGGAAGUUGGUCUACUUCAGGAAAGCAUGAACCAGUAUAUGGUUGACUGAACUUCCUUAUCAUCAGAACAUGCUGCUGCCCAGACAUAUCAAGGAAAUGUAUUACUUCGAAGGAAUAUUCACAACACUGUCAGCUAUAGAAGUUUUCUUUAUUCGAGAGUAGGUUGGUCAGCUACUAGAGGAGAGGCAACUUGACAUUUGCAACCCAAACUAACUAGCUAGGUCCCAGGCUAAUUUUGGCUAUGUCUUCCAAGGACCUAAAAAAGAGGAAAAUUACUUGUAGGGAGAGGAUUAUUUUAUUUUGCAGAAUUACAAAAUUUCACAAUAGAAGAGCACGGAAAAAGGGUAGGAGGGAAGGUGUCUCUUUCAUUAAUCAAGUUUUUGAGGUUUGGAACUUUUGAGGUUUCAGGAAAAAUGACUGACAGAGUCAGUCAUUCAAUCAAUUGUUCAAUAAAUAUUUGUUGAACAAUUACUAUGUGGCAGGAAAUUCAUAGGAUCGAGCAGGGCUGACAUGAUCUAUGUCCUUAAGGAAUGUUCAGUCUAAUAAAGAGGCAGAUCUUAAAUAAACAACUGCACAGAUAUGUGUGAGAAGUGUU